This 380-nucleotide ribosomal RNA is filed under the name uncultured bacterium. RNAcentral's name for it is "bacterial SSU rRNA". It matches the Rfam family "Bacterial small subunit ribosomal RNA", at positions 28 to 416 of the family's 1533-position model. The record is from RNAcentral.
GACGAACGCUGGCGGCGUGCCUAACACAUGCAAGUCGAACGGGGCCCGCAAGGGUUCAGUGGCGAACGGGUGCGUAACACGUGAAGAAUUUGUCCAACGGCGGGGGAUAGCCGGCCCAACGGCCGGGUAAUACCGCGUACGAUCUUCGGGGGGCAUCCUCUGGAGAUGAAAGCCGCAAGGCGCCGAUGGAGAACUUCGCGGCCUAUCAGCUAGUUGGUGAGGUCAUGGCUCACCAAGGCGACGACGGGUAGCUGGUCCGAGAGGAUGACCAGCCACAUUGGGACUGAGACACGGCCCAGACUCCUACGGGAGGCAGCAGUGGGGAAUAUUGCGCAAUGGGCGAAAGCCUGACGCAGCAACGCCGCGUGGGGAUGAAGGCC